UUUCUACUAACAUUGAAAUUGCAGUUUAAUGUCGCCGUUGCACCCACUAUAUUGUGGCUAUAUUGCAACAAAAUUGCGGUUCGAUGCCACUGCAUAAACUGCCACAACUGCAAUAUUAAAUUUCUUAGCAUACCAUUGUAUUUUGCCAUAUUGCUUUCUAAAACUUCAGAGCUUUCUAAUAUUCAAUUAUGUGUAGUGGCCAAGGGAGUAACUUCAGCAAGUGGUGUUGGAAGUGGCGAGUUCCUACACAUGGGACAUGAGAAAUUUAGCCUAAACCAAGUGCCAAUACAAUCCUUAUGAAAAAAGUGACCACAAUCAGGUAAGAGGCGCAACCACUCUGAAUCUUUAUAAUCUGCUAAACAAAUUGAGCAAUGGAGUGAUGUUGAAUCAGGUUUAUGAAGCUUGGCUUGAGAAUACAACAACAUGGGAUAACUAUUCAAAAUGGUAUCUUGUUCUUCCUCAGAUACUUCAAUAUUCACUUCAGUAUUUGUAUCCAUGAAGAUUAAGGUUCUGUUAGAGUUGCUGUUGUAGCUGCC
This 536-nucleotide long non-coding RNA is filed under the name Cicer arietinum (chickpea). Its description in RNAcentral is "long non-coding RNA (CARI_LNC000996)". Lineage: Eukaryota; Viridiplantae; Streptophyta; Magnoliopsida; Fabales; Fabaceae. The record is from RNAcentral.